This 253-nucleotide ribosomal RNA is filed under the name uncultured bacterium. RNAcentral's name for it is "partial 16S ribosomal RNA". It matches the Rfam family "Bacterial small subunit ribosomal RNA", at positions 524 to 776 of the family's 1533-position model. The record is from RNAcentral.
UACGAAGGUCCCAAGCGUUAUCCGGAUUUAUUGGGUUUAAAGGGCGUGUAGGCGGUACCAUAAGUCAGAUGUGAAAGCCCUAGGCUUAACCUAGGAGGUGCAUUUGAUACUGUGGAACUAGAGAUCGAGAGAGGUAAGUGGAAUUACGAGUGUAGAGGUGAAAUUCGUAGAUAUUCGUAAGAACACCAGUGGCGAAGGCGACUUACUGGCUCGAUACUGACGCUAAGGCGCGAAAGCGUGGGGAGCAAACAGG